Molecule: ribosomal RNA, 1293 nt
Filed under: uncultured Bordetella sp.
Lineage: Bacteria; Pseudomonadati; Pseudomonadota; Betaproteobacteria; Burkholderiales; Alcaligenaceae
Description: partial 16S-23S ribosomal RNA intergenic spacer
Rfam family: Bacterial small subunit ribosomal RNA
Source: RNAcentral
GGGUUCGAUUAUGGCUCAGAUUGAACGCUGGCGGGAUGCUUUACACAUGCAAGUCGAACGGCAGCACGGACUUCCGGUCUGGUGGCGAGUGGCGAACGGGUAGGUAAUGUAUCGGAACGUGCCUAGUAGCGGGGGAUAACUACGCGAAAGCGUAGCUAAUACCGCAUACGCCCUUCGGGGGAAAGCAGGGGACCUUCGGGCCUCGCACUAUUAGAAGCGGCCGAUAUCGGAUUAGCUAGUUGGUGGGAGUAACGGCUCACCAAGGCGACGAUCCGUAGCUGGUUUGAGAGGACGACCAGCCACACUGGGACUGAGACACAGCCGGGCUCUACAGGAGGCAACGGUGGAAUUACCGGAACGGCGGAAGCGUCCAGCCAUCCCGCGUGUGCGAUGAAGGCCUUCCGGGUUGUAAAGCACUUUUGGCGGAAAGAAACGGCACAGGAUAAUACGUACAGCUGACGGUAUACCUGCAGAAUAAGCACCGGCUAACUACGUGCCAGCAGCCGCGAUGACCACGUAGAGAUUGCAAGCGUUAAUCGGAAUUACUGGGCGUAAAGCGUGCGCAGGCGGUUCGGAAAGAAGAUGUGAAAUCCCAGAGCUUAACUUUGGAACUGCGUGCAACUACCGAGCUAGAGUGUGUGUCAGAGAGUGGAAUUCCGCGUGUAGCAGUGAAAUGCGUAGAUAUGCGGAGGAACACCGGUGAGGCAACCUCCUGGGAUAACACUGACGCUCAUGCACGAAAGCGUGGGGAGCAAACAGGAUUAGAUACCCUGGUAGUCCACGCCCUAAACGAUGUCAACAGCUAUUCAGGGCCUUCGGGCCUUGGUAGCGCAACUAACGCGUGAAGUUGACCGCCUGGGAGUACGGUCGCAAGAUUAAAACUCAAGGAAUUGACGGGGACCCGCACAAGCGGUGGAUGAUGUGGAUUAAUUCGAUGCAACGAAAAACCUUACCUACCCUUGACAUGUCUGGAAUCCCGAAGAGAUUUGGGAGUGCUCGCAAGAGAACCGGAACACAGGUGCUGCAUGGCUGUCGUCAGCUCGUGUCGUGAGAUGUUGGGUUAAGUCCCGCAACGAGCGCAACCCUUAUCAUUAGUUGCUACGAAGGGCACUCUAAUGAGACUGCCAUUGGAAACCGGAGGAAGGUGGGGAUGACGUCAAGUGCUCUUUGGCCUUAUGGGUAGGGCUUCACACGUCAUACAAUGGUGGGGACAGAGGGUCGCCAACCCGCGAGAAGUUGUCCGAAACCCGAUCGCCGUCCGGAUCACCAGUCUACCCAGCUCGACUGCGUGAA